Molecule: small nucleolar RNA, 136 nt
Organism: Nycticebus coucang (slow loris)
Lineage: Eukaryota; Metazoa; Chordata; Mammalia; Primates; Lorisidae
Product: small nucleolar RNA SNORA20
Exons: 1
Source: RefSeq, a predicted model, not a curated record
CUUCUCAUACCUGAACUUACACCAAUGGUACCAACACUUUUAUGACCAAUAAUAUGCAUGAGAUAAAAUAAUAUUGGGCCAUUGUAAAUUGAGAUGAAGUAACCAUUUUCAUCUUUUCUGCAUGGACCAGACAUUC